Salvelinus sp. IW2-2015 is the source of this 318-nucleotide non-coding RNA. Lineage: Eukaryota; Metazoa; Chordata; Actinopteri; Salmoniformes; Salmonidae. The record is from RefSeq and is a predicted model, not a curated record.
CAAAAUACUGCAUAUUUUCCAAGGAACGCGAAGCGAGGGGGCCAUCUCGGUCGGCGCCAUCUUUUGUCAAGAGAAGCUCUGCCUGUUCUGUUUACAUCGCCACAGUCCCAAUUUGCUGAGAUCCAAAAUUUCUUCCAAUAAGGUGAAGGUGGUGAGCUUCAAGCCAGACUUGGCCCAGAUGGACUUGUACAUCCUAAGCCAGUCUGACCACUUCGUUGGGAAUUGUGUGUCCUCCUCUUCCUGCUUUUGUCAAACGAGACCGUGAUGUCCAUGCCCGGUCGUCGUCUUUCUUCGGGAAUGGACUACGCUGGAAAAUUU